RNAcentral lists this ribosomal RNA (356 nucleotides) under Kosakonia cowanii. Its description in RNAcentral is "partial 23S ribosomal RNA". It matches the Rfam family "Bacterial large subunit ribosomal RNA", at positions 1504 to 1838 of the family's 2925-position model. The record is from RNAcentral. Lineage: Bacteria; Pseudomonadati; Pseudomonadota; Gammaproteobacteria; Enterobacterales; Enterobacteriaceae.
GUCCCGGUUUAAGCGUGUAGGUGUGUGUUCCAGGUAAAUCCGGUUCACUUUAACACUGAGGCGUGAUGACGAGGCACCACGGUGCUGAAGUGACAAAUGCCCUGCUUCCAGGAAAAGCCUCUAAGCAUCAGGUAACACGAAAUCGUACCCCAAACCGACACAGGUGGUCAGGUAGAGAAUACCAAGGCGCUUGAGAGAACUCGGGUGAAGGAACUAGGCAAAAUGGUGCCGUAACUUCGGGAGAAGGCACGCUGGUGCGUAGGUGAAGCGACUUGCUCGCGGAGCUGAAACCAGUCGAAGAUACCAGCUGGCUGCAACUGUUUAUUAAAAACACAGCACUGUGCAAACACGAAAGU